AUGGUGGCAUUUGGGGCAGCUGUUUCUUCAGGAUUUUCCCAACUCUGGCAAAGUGGAGGUUCACUUUGUGAACCGUGUGAGUGGCGGUUGUGGCAGCCCUUCCCUCAGGACUGUUCCCACUCUGGCCUGGUGGCAUUUGUGGCAGUCCUUACCUCAGGAUUGUCCCCACUCUGCCAAGGAGGUGGUUGUGGCAGCCCUUCCCUCAGGACUGUCCCCACUCUGGCAAGGUGGCAGAUGUGGCAACCUUCCCCUCAAGACUGUUCCCACUCUGGCACGGUAGCAGUUGGGGCAGCCCUUCCUUCAGGACUGUUCCCACUCUGGCAGCAGUUCCCUCAGGAGAUAGUUGUUCCCUCUGUGUGGAGAUCACCUACUGUAACAGCUGCAGUCUCCUUAAAUAUGGAGUGCUACAUACCUCCCCGGUCAAGAGGGAGAGAUUAAUGCUAAUACUGGAGUUUGUACAUUGUCUGUUUGCUGCACUCAUCUGAUAUUCACAGUACUUUUUACCUUUGAGAGUCAAGCCAUUCCUUCAUUCCCCGAGGCUACAUUUCACUUCUGUUAAUCUAACGGAGAUAGCUGUGGCUCCUUUUUCCCAGAUCAGAAACAUCAAGAUAAGAACAGAUUCAUAUAACAAAAUAAAGUAUAGCUUUUACAAGUGUACA
This 659-nucleotide long non-coding RNA is filed under the name Anser cygnoides (Swan goose). RNAcentral describes it as "lncRNA (ENSACDG00005015863.1)". Lineage: Eukaryota; Metazoa; Chordata; Aves; Anseriformes; Anatidae. The record is from RNAcentral.